This 404-nucleotide ribosomal RNA is filed under the name uncultured Glomus. Its description in RNAcentral is "SSU rRNA". It matches the Rfam family "Eukaryotic small subunit ribosomal RNA", at positions 569 to 973 of the family's 1831-position model. The record is from RNAcentral. Lineage: Eukaryota; Fungi; Glomeromycota; Glomeromycetes; Glomerales; Glomeraceae.
AGCAGCCGCGGUAAUUCCAGCUCCAAUAGCGUAUAUUAAAGUUGUUGCAGUUAAAAAAGCUCGUAGUUGAAUUUCGGGAUCAGUAAGCCGGUCGUACCUUCGGUAUGUACUGGUGUCACUGAUUCCUCCCUUCUGAUGAACCGUUAUACCAUUUAGUUGGUGUGGCGGGGAAUCAGGACUGUUACCUUGAAAAAAUUAGAGUGUUUAAAAGCAAGCUCGCGCUUGAAUACAUUAGCAUGGAAUAAUAAAAUAGGACGUUUGAUCUCCUAUUUUGUUGGUUUCUAGGAUCGACGUAAUGAUUAAUAGGGAUAGUUGGGGGCAUUAGUAUUCAAUUGUCAGAGGUGAAAUUCUUGGAUUUAUUGAAGACUAACUACUGCGAAAGCAUUUGCCAAGGAUGUUUUCAU